GAUGAACGCUGGCGGCAUGCCUAAUACAUGCAAGUCGAGCGAACGGACGAGAAGCUUUCUUCUCUGAUGUUAUCGGCGGACGGGUGAGUAACACGUGGAUAACCUACCUAUAAGACUGGGAUAACUUCGGGAAACCGGAGCUAAUACCCGGUAAUAUUUUGAACCGCAUUGUUCAAAAGUGAAAGACGGUCUUGCUGUCACUUAUAGAUGGAUCCGCGCUGCAUUAGCUAGUUGGUAAGGUAACGGCUUACCAAGGCAACGAUGCAUAGCCGACCUGAGGGGGUGAUCGGCCACACUGGAACUGAGACACGGUCCAGACUCCUACGGGAGGCAGCAGUAGGGAAUCUUCCGCAAUGGGCGAAAGCCUGACGGAGCAACGCCGCGUGAGUGAUGAAGGUCUUCGGAUCGUAAAACUCUGCUAUUAGGGAAGAACAUAUGUGUAAGUAACUGUGCACAUCUUGACGGUACCUAAUCAGAAAGCCACGGCUAACUACGUG
This 497-nucleotide ribosomal RNA is filed under the name uncultured bacterium. Its description in RNAcentral is "partial 16S ribosomal RNA". It matches the Rfam family "Bacterial small subunit ribosomal RNA", at positions 28 to 507 of the family's 1533-position model. The record is from RNAcentral.